GAUCAGCCCUCUGAUUUGCCUGGGACUGAGGGGUUUCCUGAGACCCAGAACUUGCAGUGCUAAAAUUGGGACAGUU
Molecule: microRNA precursor, 76 nt
Filed under: Choloepus hoffmanni (Hoffmann's two-fingered sloth)
Lineage: Eukaryota; Metazoa; Chordata; Mammalia; Pilosa; Megalonychidae
Description: miRNA (ENSCHOG00000015680.1)
Source: RNAcentral